CCUACGGGAGGCAGCAGUGGGGAAUAUUGCACAAUGGGCGCAAGCCUGAUGCAGCCAUGCCGCGUGUGUGAAGAAGGCCUUCGGGUUGUAAAGCACUUUCAGCGGGGAGGAAGGCGUUAAGGUUAAUAACCUUGGCGAUUGACGUUACCCGCAGAAGAAGCACCGGCUAACUCCGUGCCAGCAGCCGCGGUAAUACGGAGGGUGCAAGCGUUAAUCGGAAUUACUGGGCGUAAAGCGCACGCAGGCGGUCCGUCAAGUCGGAUGUGAAAUCCCCGGGCUCAACCUGGGAACUGCAUUCGAAGCUGGCAGGCUAGAGUCUUGUAGAGGGGGGUAGAAUUCCAGGUGUAGCGGUGAAAUGCGUAGAGAUCUGGAGGAAUACCGGUGGCGAAGGCGGCCCCCUGGACAAAGACUGACGCUCAGGUGCGAAAGCGUGGGGAGCAAACAGGAUUAGAUACCCUUGUAGUC
RNAcentral lists this ribosomal RNA (465 nucleotides) under uncultured Klebsiella sp. Its description in RNAcentral is "bacterial SSU rRNA". It matches the Rfam family "Bacterial small subunit ribosomal RNA", at positions 338 to 795 of the family's 1533-position model. Lineage: Bacteria; Pseudomonadati; Pseudomonadota; Gammaproteobacteria; Enterobacterales; Enterobacteriaceae. The record is from RNAcentral.